RNAcentral lists this ribosomal RNA (472 nucleotides) under uncultured bacterium. RNAcentral describes it as "bacterial SSU rRNA". It matches the Rfam family "Bacterial small subunit ribosomal RNA", at positions 355 to 825 of the family's 1533-position model. The record is from RNAcentral.
UGGGGAAUUGUUCACAAUGGGCGAAAGCCUGAUCCAGCCAUGCCGCGUGCGGGAAGAAGGCCUUCGGGUUGUAAACCGCUUUUGUCAGGGAAGAAACGGUCUGCACUAAUACUGCGGAUUAAUGACGGUACCUGAAGAAUAAGCACCGGCUAACUACGUGCCAGCAGCCGCGGUAAUACAGAGGGUGCGAGCGUUAAUCGGAAUUACUGGGCGUAAAGGGUGCGUAGGCGGUUAAAUAAGUUAGAUGUGAAAUCCCCGGGCUUAACCUGGGAAUUGCAUUUAAUACUGUAUGACUAGAGUAGAGUAGAGGGAAGUGGAAUUUCCGGUGUAGCGGUGAAAUGCGUAGAUAUCGGAAAGAACAUCAGUGGCGAAGGCGGCUUCCUGGACUCAUACUGACGCUGAGGCACGAAAGUGUGGGGAUCAAACAGGAUUAGAUACCCAUGUAGUCCCUGAGCGGGCUGGCAAGGCGCAU